Molecule: ribosomal RNA, 496 nt
Filed under: uncultured bacterium
Lineage: Bacteria
Description: partial 16S ribosomal RNA
Rfam family: Bacterial small subunit ribosomal RNA
Source: RNAcentral
AUGAACGCUGGCGGCGUGCCUAAUACAUGCAAGUCGAGCGAACAGAUGAGGAGCUUGCUCCUCUGACGUUAGCGGCGGACGGGUGAGUAACACGUGGAUAACCUACCUAUAAGACUGGGAUAACUUCGGGAAACCGGAGCUAAUACCGGAUAAUAUAUUUAACCGCAUGGUUCAAUAGUGAAAGACGGUUUUGCUGUCACUUAUAGAUUGAUCCGCGCCGCAUUAGCUAGUUGGUAAGGUAACGGCUUACCAAGGCAACGAUGCGUAGCCGACCUGAGAGGGUGAUCGGCAAAACUGGAAGUGAGACACGGUCCAGACUCCGACGGGAGGCAGCAGUAGGGAAUCUUCCGCAAUGGGCGAAAGCCUGACGGAGCAACGCCGCGUGAGUGAUGAAGGUCUUCGGAUCGUAAAACUCUGUUAUUAGGGAAGAACAAAUGUGUAAGUAACUAUGCACGUCUUGACGGUACCUAAUCAGAAAGCCACGGCUAACUACGUG